CUACAGGUUGUUGUUGUGCUGACUAUUUAGGGACAGGAGCUUGGCAAAAGGGGCUAGCUGCCAUUUUUUCUAGCCUGCCUAGCAGCUGCUAUGGCAUUGUAUUUUAUAGAACUGAAGAUAACCUGUGAUUAGAAGUCUGUCCCGUUGUUUCUCUCCUCACCCCAGUCUAUCUUUGGCCUCACUUUUCGCACACCUGCAUUGUUUCAUGCCCCACUGCUGACCUUCCAGCUCCAUCUUCGAG
Molecule: long non-coding RNA, 241 nt
Filed under: Homo sapiens (human)
Lineage: Eukaryota; Metazoa; Chordata; Mammalia; Primates; Hominidae
Description: HSALNT0126735
Source: RNAcentral